GACAGAGGUGGCAAGCGUUGUUCGGAGUUACUGGGCGUAAAGCGCACGUAGGCGGCUGGAUAAGUCCUGUGUGAAAUCCCCUCGCUCAACGAGGGAACGGCAUGGGAUACUGUCCGGCUAGAGGGUUGGAGAGGAGAGUGGAAUUCCCGGUGUAGCGGUGAAAUGCGUAGAGAUCGGGAGGAACACCUGUAGCGAAGGCGGCUCUCUGGACAACCCCUGACGCUUAAGUACGAAAGCGUGGGUAGCAAACAGG
Molecule: ribosomal RNA, 253 nt
Filed under: uncultured bacterium
Lineage: Bacteria
Description: partial 16S ribosomal RNA
Rfam family: Bacterial small subunit ribosomal RNA
Source: RNAcentral